CAACCCUCAGGGCCCGCCUGCAAAGGCGCGGCGCUGGUGUUGGGGAUCGGCCUCACCGCCGUCCCCCAAAUUCAGUGGCGGUCUCGCUGCAGCCUCCCCUGCGUAGUAGCAACACUCGCAUGCGGAGCGCGGCGCGGCCACGCCGUAAAACCCCCGACUUUCUGAA
RNAcentral lists this unclassified non-coding RNA (166 nucleotides) under uncultured Hypocreales. RNAcentral's name for it is "sequence contains ITS2". Lineage: Eukaryota; Fungi; Ascomycota; Sordariomycetes; Hypocreales. The record is from RNAcentral.